RNAcentral lists this long non-coding RNA (303 nucleotides) under Hordeum vulgare. Its description in RNAcentral is "long non-coding RNA (HVUL_LNC000611)". The record is from RNAcentral. Lineage: Eukaryota; Viridiplantae; Streptophyta; Magnoliopsida; Poales; Poaceae.
AAUAAAAGAGGGGGAAUGAUCUAUGCAUAACGGACGUGAAUUAAUGAUGAUCAAAUGAAUGAUCCUGAACAUCUACAAAUGUCAGACAUAACCCCACCGUCUCCUCAGUCGGAGAAGGAAGUCGCGAGAGAGACAGUCACGGUUACGCACACAGAUGGCAUAUUUUAAUUAUGUUUACUUCAGAUUAUCUAGAACCGGAUGUUAAACAAAGUUUCCAAGUUGCCACAUAAUCGCGGGUAUAGCUUUCUGAAAGAUUUAACCUUGCACGGGUGCUCCAACUAAUCCAUCACACAAGAUGCAUAG